UCCUACGCGUCGGACGCGUCACACGCGUCUUUCACGCUCGCACACACACACACACGCACGUCAGUCACACAUACGCGCACGCACACCUGCGUGCACGUGCGUAUAUACGUGCUCGUUAUAGCGAUCUCGUGAGAACGAACCUCGGUCGGAGCCGUUUCUUCAGUCAAGCGCAGCCGCUCGAGCAGGACGGACGCGUGUACGUUCGUCCGCGCUUUUCUAGUCUCCUCGAGGACGAAUCCGACGCAGCAGUUGGAGAGAGAGAGAGAUCGUCGUCGAACCUCGCCGUCGAGGUCUGAUCGCCCACGUGCUCGCUAGAAGCCGACGUUUCCCGCGCGCAGUUCGUGGCGAGACACCGAGCGUUCGAAACGCGCGCUGACGCCGCUGGCCGAUCACGUGGUACGCCGUCGUAUCGACCAGCGGACGGCCGCGGCGGCGAUUGGCCCGCUCGGCUCGCGUCUUACGCGCAAUAUCAGUUCGAGCUGCCGUCUGCUGGCAGUGUCAAGUGGACCUCGUAACGUACGCUCGACGAACAAAGGAUUCGCGGAAGCUCUCGCUGCAUCUCGCGCUGGUACUGGCGACUCGCGCACGACCCGCGCCUCAUCGUUCUCUCCGUGCUCGUCCCGUGCUCGACGCGUCGAAGUCGCCUCGACCCGCUGCGGCGAACAGAGCGCGACAGACACACGCACGUCACGCUGCGACGGGGCUGCGACGCGGUCCUACGGACGCUUUUGACAGCUCGUCGUCGCAGUGACAGCCGCCGCGUCGUGGUGGAUCGUCGUUGCGGGGUUUUCUCGCUCGUCGGACCGACAGUCGGAGUGUCAUCGACAACCGAGGAGCGACCUGAGAGCGAAGAAGAGGGAGACACCCCGGGGAUGGUCGAAUAAAUCUGCCGAGCAUCGAAAGGUCUAGGUUUCCCUGAGCAGCGGUCCCUCGCACUUCUCUCGUAUCCUUCUCUCCCCUCUCCCCCUUCUCUCCCUCUCUCCCUCACGCGCGCGCUGCAAGAGAGCCGCGAGCUACGAGAGAUAUAUAUUGUGUGUAUGUGUGUAUAUAUAUAUAUAUAUAUACACACAUCUUUCUCUCGCCGCGCGACCGCGAACUUCGAAUACUCCACUGAUCGCGUUUCUCCGUUGGUCGAGUUCCGCGGCCAGUAGUGCGCGGGCUUAAGAUGUACAGUAUGAACUACAUCGGCAAGUUCAUCAGCAACUUUCGCGACUUCUACAACGAGAUCAACGCGGCGACCCUCACCGGUGCGAUCGACGUCGUCGUCGUCGAGCAGCCGGAUGGCUCCUUCGCGUGUUCGCCCUUCCAUGUCCGCUUCGGCAAGCUCGGAGUGCUUCGUUCCAGGGAAAAAGUGGUGGACAUUGAGAUAAACGGAGAGCCCAGGCAGAUUCACAUGAAACUUGGCGAUUCCGGAGAGGCUUUCUUCGUAGAAGAAGUUGGCUCGGACGGGUCGCCGACUGAUCGAGAAAUUCCGCCGCAUCUAGCCUGCUCACCCAUACCGGACGACAACUGUUUCCCACCCCCACGAUUCAACCUCCUGUCGGAUCUACCUCCGGAACAGAGGGAGAAGAUUCUCAUAGACUCCGUUCUCUCCAUCGAGCGUGAAAAAUGGGAGCAAAUGUCCGCCUUGCCGCCCGAUCAGCGGGAGAAGUUUCUGGUAGAACAGUUUUCAGAUCUCCCUGUGGAACAUCGCGAGAAAUGGCUACAGAUCGCGUCGCUGACCGCGGAAGAGCGAGACGAGAUGUUCAAGGAGAGUUUCGGCACCAUAUCAACCCUGCAGAAACAGCAAAUGAUCAGAGAACAAUAUUCCGCCUUGAAGACGGAGGACAAGGAGCGACUGUUCAAGGAAAACUUUCCGGAGCUGCCGAUCGAGCAGAGACAGAAGUUCGAGAAGGCUCUGCUGAGCGACUGGAAGGAGAAGGAGGAAAAAUGGGAAGAGAAGCACGACAAAUCCAAGGACGAUGACGAGAUAUUCGACAUGGACAACAUCAACGAUGAAGAACCCAAGGUUACGGUGUCAACGCCCAAAUCUUUCGUAGCUGUUACCUCCUCCGAGAGAAUUCGGAAGAUCAGCGUGGUGAAGAAUGAUUUUAGACCGAUCACCGAUGAUCCUCAGAGCAGCAGUAAAGAAAAGUCCAGUGACGAGUCGAAUCCGUCUGUGAGCAAGAAGAACUCGAAGGAGGAGAAUGUCGAAGAGACGAAGAGUAACAGUUCCACUAAGAGGAAGCGCAAGAGGAAGAGCAUAAUGAAGAAGAAGGGAUCACAGAGGAAGACCAGCAACGGCAGCAGCAGCCAGACGGAAAUGAGCGAGACUGAUGCGGUCGUUACCGAGGAGUUAGUCAACGAAACUAUGCUGAAGGGUCCCACUUCAGUCACCGAAGUCGAGAUGAAAAGCAUCGCGGAAAUCACGCCGCCUCCUCAAGAUACCAUUGAGCAACGCCCGGAUACUGACUUUCACUUCUUCAGCGACACGGAAGUGACCAAGAAUCAGGAAUCCAGGCCAUCGUCGCCCGUCCAGUCGGACACGGAAUUCGAGAUGCGCAAGAUCACGCAGGAGGGUAGCGAAAUGGAGGACGACAAGAGCCAUCAGCAGAGCUGGAGAUGGGGUGAACUGCCUAGUCCGCCUCCGGAACCGGCGCAUAUGUCGCACAGAAACUCGCUGAGCUCCUCAGCAACGGCCAGCCAGCCGAACAACACAGAUGCACACCGAUCUAUGCUCAGUGGCAUGUUCUCCUUUAUGAAGAAGACCUCUCGCGUAAGACACAAUCCGGAAUCCGAGGGAAUUUAUCUUAGUGAUCUUAAUGCCGACGAGCUGGAUCCCGAAGUUGCGGCACUUUACUUUCCCUCCUCGCAUCGAGGCCCGACGGUGGUUAAAGAUGGGAAAGCCGUGGAUGAAGAAGACACAGAGUCAGGUAACGGACCGAGUUUACCGCAAAGCCCCAACAGCGUUGAGGGAGCUAUCGGUGGGCCAAAGUCGGUGGAUAGUGACUUCGAGGAACCAAAGCACUCAAUAUUCGAUAAUACCGUAGAGAUAAGUUUGUCCUUGUGCGGUGGUCUGGACACCGAGAACGGACCAUCCAAGGAGGCUUUCCAUGAAAAUUUACUGCAGUUCGAGGACAUCUGUACCGAUCCAAAAUUGUAUGAGAACCCAAACCUGGUCGUGAAGAUCAACGGAAAAUUCUAUAACUGGGCUACAGCCUGCCCGAUAGUGAUGACUUACGCCGUUUUCCAAAGACACUUACCUCAGAGCGCGAUCGAGAGUCUGUACACGCAGUAUAUGCCGUUGCUGGUGCACGAAGACAAGAAACAGCAGAACAACGGCAAGCCCGAGAGCCGUAGCGGUUACAGCUCGUGGUUCUCUUGGAGACGUUCCACGCAACCCACUAAGAAAUCGCAGGAUAUUAGUCAAACUGAUGGGAUUGCCAUGCAGUCCGAACAAUCAUUGGAAGCCAAGGCUGCGACGAGCGAAGAAGUACCUUCUACUAACAGAGAAGCAAAGACUGAGCAAACAGUAGGCUCGUCGAAUGCGACCGAAGCGAUAGAAGCUUGUACGAGAUUGACAACCGCAAGUAAGGAAACAGCACUCUCAAAGACUGAGAAGGCGCGCGAAAGAGAAGGCGAAGGCUACAGCGGCAGCGAGGAUUCCGACAGCAAUCAAAACGAGCCGCCUGGCGUGAAGAUGCCCAUCGAAAGAAGAUCGUAUUACGAGUCCACGGAGAAAUAUCGUAAAACUUUGAGACUCUCAUCCGAGCAGAUUGUGAGCCUCGGUCUGAAGGACGGUCCCAACGAAGUGGUGUUCAGCGUCACCACCGCUUACCAGGGUACAACCCGCUGCAAGUGUCACAUUUACAAGUGGAAGUGGGAUGACAAGAUCGUCAUCUCCGAUAUCGACGGCACUAUCACGAAAUCCGACGUGUUGGGCCACAUUCUGCCGAUAGUGGGCAAAGACUGGGCACAGUCUGGAGUCGCCCAGCUGUUCACGAAGAUAAAAAACAACGGCUACAAGCUUCUAUACCUCUCGGCGAGGGCGAUCGGCCAGGCUAAGGUUACCAGGGAAUACCUGAAGAGCAUCAGACAAGGGGAUCUGUCGUUACCGGAGGGUCCUUUGCUUUUGAACCCUACCAGCUUAAUCUCAGCGUUUCAUCGUGAAGUGAUCGAGAAGAAACCGGAAGAGUUCAAAAUAUCUUGCCUCAGCGACAUUCAGGCGUUAUUCCCCGAGGGCUCCAAGCCGUUUUACGCUGGAUACGGAAAUCGAAUUAACGACGUUUGGGCAUAUCGAGCAGUAGGCAUUCCUAUUAUGCGGAUCUUCACCAUAAAUCACCGAGGAGAAUUGAAGCACGAACUGACACAGACAUUCCAAUCUUCCUACGCGUGUCAGUGCAAUAUCGUCAAUGACUUGUUCCCGCCACAACCCAUGCCAAGCGUCUACUGAUAGCGGCGCAACCAUAGUCGUAGCUUUAACCGGGGCGUGCUAGUUAAAUAGAUUUGCGAGCGUUCUUUGGAGUAACGCGUAGUAACGGCGACGGUGUCGCCGGUUGCGUUAUGCUUGGGACACCGCCCACGCGCAACGCAAUCCACGCGCUCUCCACCUUCCACAACAAUCGACAUAGUACAAAGUCCAGCGUUUCACGCGCCGUGACAAAACUGGCGGAAGAGAAAGCUCGAGUUAAUCUUUCGAUACGCGCCCAGUUAUGGAAUUGUUUAGAAUACGUAAAAUACGCAACUAGUCGCUCUAUAGCUCAUCACUAUACUAUGUUUUGGGAUAUUGUGGGGUUGUGCGACAACUCCUACCUACCUUCUUAUGAUUUAUAGGAUAUUCGAACAUGAGUUUCAUCGUCGAUCAUCUGUUCCCGGCAUGGCGUGAGGAUGCAGCCGAUGAAUUCAGCAACUUCGCAUACUGGCGGGAGCCGAUACCUGAAGUACCGAAACUCGAAGAGCUUUACGCUCAGGCUCAAGCUACCUAGGGAACUCGCUCUACUCCGCAACCAGUCACAAUCGCUUGUAUUACGAACCAUCGUCGUCAUAUUUAAGCUAACUACUUUUAUACCCUGCGCAUCGAUCGUAGUGGCCUUGACGGGUGCGAUUGUCCAGUGUAACGCGUUAGAAGCUUCGAAGAGUGCGAACAUUUGUUAUUUCAAGUUUAUUUGUUCAAGUUACCGUCGGAAGUGAAACUUCUUAUUUGAAUGGCACUUCGGUGUAGUUCGCCUGGGUUAUUUAAGUGACACUUUUGUAAGUACGUAUCGCAUACACAGGUGAUCUAGAGGGUAGAAAUGUUUCGAGUUCAAUAUCUCAACAUUCCAGAGUUUACAGCUUCGUUGUACACGCACGCAAGUAUAAUAGAUAGUCCUUGCAUCCAUAUAUUAAUUGGAUCGAAUCGCACCAGUCAAUGUACACAGCGUGCCUAGUGAUUAGAUACAAAUAAAUGCUUCAGAUUAACCUAAGCAAAUCUUAUGCACAUGCAUACACACACACACACACACACACACACACUUUCUCUCUCUCACAUAUAUACAUAAAAAACUUGAUAAAGUUCUCAAGCUCUUCUACAAGCGAUACUCACCAUCGGGUCUCGCUGUUGAAUACACUUCGUAAAAUUGAUGAUCAGGUGGAAUUUCGUGAUCUUGCACACGGCACGAUUCAUCUGUGUGUUUACAGCGACAUUCUCAUUGUGCUAAAAAGAGAGAAAGAGAGAGAGAGAGAGAGAGUCUCGCUUAUCACCGCACAUAUACACACACGCAUCUUUUAUACAAGCAAUCUAAUUGUUGUCCGCGUACAUGCCGUGAAUUUUCUACAUUGAGUUACGUUGGGAUUCUGUUUAGUCUAAUUGGUGGUAGAAAUAUCGUCACGAUCAUAGAACGUAAGAUAUGUUAGCAGGAGUAUUUAUACGUCGCUUACGUUCCCUAUUUUUAUUCAGAGAAUUGUAAUUUAUUUUUGUAUGAGAUCUCGAUUAAGUUAGCGUGCUGUGAAAUUGCCAUAUUUGGAAGGAUAUCAUUUACCUUGUGAUAUUUCUGAUCAAACUAGGGCUUACAAAGUAGAUAAUCUGUACAGACGUGGGGAUUUCUUUUUGAACGUCAGCGUCAACGUGGUCCCACGAAAUGCGAACUUGUCCUAUGUUCCGCGUAGGUUGUACGUGAUAUAAUUUUUAUUUAUUUAAUUGUCCUCUCUAAUGAUGAUUUUGUAAUGCUACUUCUACCUACUUUCUACCAGCCUUUGUCUUUCGUAUUACGUUACCUAAACUACAUCAUUGACGUAUACAUUAAGUAGUCGUUUUUUUUUCCUUCUUUUUUGUAGCCUGUGGUUGAUUCAAAUGUAAAAGUAUAGUCUGUGGGUCCGUUCCUCAUACUUCUCGAAAGUCAUGCCGUUGAAGUAAAAUAAAGGUACAAUUACAUCCAACCAAAGAGGAUAGAGUAACAUUCGCAAUAGAUUGUCUUAUUAGGUAAUAAUUAGACUAUAAAUGUUUAUGCAAAUGUAUCAUCUUCUGAAGGGAUGGAAAAGUAAAACUAAAACUUAAGCAUAAUUUAUCAGUAGAAUACAAAUUCUAUGUCUGUACGAUAAAACAAGCUUCGACCGUUUUAGUUUUAUUUUUCUAACUGAUUCUUGAUCUACAUAUUUAUACAAACAUCUGCAGUCCAAUGGUGAUGCAGCAUUCAGUGAAAUGCAACGAGAUGGAAAAAUUACCGUACGAAUAGCAGAUAGCUUUAAGAGUUUUUGGUUAGCCAAAUGUGAUCUAGCGCAGGGAAACUGAUAAAUUAGGAGGAAUUUAGGAAUUGGAUGUUGUAUAGAUUUUGUAUUCCUGUAAAAGGAUGCACUUUUGUUUAACAAUUAUUUUAAUGUAUAAUGUAUAUAUUAUGCGAAAUAAGGUUAUAUUGUACAUUUGUAAUUGUUAAAUAUUUAAUUUGUAGCAUAUUAUAUUUUACUCGUUUUGUUAUAAUUCAUUAUUUCUAGUACAAAUAAAUCCAGUCUUUUUGUAAUUCUUUUUAGUUCGGUUUAUAAUAUGUUCUUGCAUUAUAUUAUCACAACAUACUUCUCCUUUGUGACAGUGAGUAAAAAAAAAAAGUUGCCAGUUUUCAAUAUACAAAUUUAAACUUGAAAACUCGGGUUAACAUAUUGCAUAAGGUGAACGUGUUCGUAUGAUUGGAAUUGUUAGACGCGAUGUCUACCUACCAAAUAAAAGCUAAUUUCCUUGCGGUUAGGAGUAUUUAAUAAUUAUUUUGUAUGAUAAUAUAUCGAAAUUGGUGUUAUGUACGGAAUGAUGCGGUGUCUAUCGAUUAACCUUUGUAUGUCAAUAACGAUUACCUGUCUAAGACGAUCUCAUCCUCUCACGAUGUAAUAUGUUCCAUUGGAUUCGGUUUACUUAAUUCUUGUCUCAGCGGUAUUAGCACAUUGCUAUGCUUCUAUAUGUAAUAAAUGUAUGACCUGUAUCCUUUGGAAUCAUAAUAAAAAUCACCAAAAUGGCUACUUCA
Molecule: RNA transcript, 7463 nt
Organism: Harpegnathos saltator (Jerdon's jumping ant)
Lineage: Eukaryota; Metazoa; Arthropoda; Insecta; Hymenoptera; Formicidae
Gene: Lpin
Gene name: phosphatidate phosphatase LPIN
Exons: 13
Source: RefSeq, a predicted model, not a curated record